This is an RNA transcript of Gossypium raimondii (Peruvian cotton), 3427 nucleotides long. RefSeq lists it as hypothetical. The record is from RefSeq and is a predicted model, not a curated record. The transcript has 2 exons. Lineage: Eukaryota; Viridiplantae; Streptophyta; Magnoliopsida; Malvales; Malvaceae.
AACCAAUAUAAUAUGAGACGACCGGCGUGUAAUUAACCAAGAAAAAGGAAACAGGAAAGAUAGGCACGAAAUCUUAAGUCUUGCGUUUCACUUUCACUUUACCCAAACUUGAUUCUCAAUCAUCUCCUGUAUUUCUUUCCUCAAAAGGGUUGAUUAUUUUUUAUACAAAAAAUUGGGUUUCCUUUCCUUUUAAAAUAACCACACCACUAAUUACUUAUUGAUUUCAAAGAGAAAGCAAGCAGGGGAGAAAAUGACGAUGCCAUUGGGCGUGGCUCUAGAGAUGGCAAAGAUGGUGUGGAUAGCUUUAAGUGGGUGGGUUUGUUCUUGCUUGACAAUUGCUGAUGAAGUCGCUGCCUCUCUCCGAAGUGGUGAUAUUGGUCCCUUCCACGUUGGCUAAUCUCAAUUCUUCUUUUUCUUUUUUCAAUCAAAUCCACAUCUCUGGUUAGUUUUCUUCUCAAUCCAUCAAAUUAUACUUCUUUCCUUCAUGUUCUUUUUCUUUCUUAUGUUUAUAUAUGACCAAAAUCAGUUUCUUUUUUAAAAUUAUAUUACUACUUCUGAAAUCUUUGUUUGGUAUAAGACUCGCAUUCUCUAUUUAUUCUUGUUUGGCGUGUUACAUGGUCGAUUCCAUCUCAGGUUCUUCAUAAUACUACUUGGUUUUUGUCAUUACAAUGUUAUUUUGCUUGUAGUUUGCUAUGUUGAAGAGGAAUUUUUGUUUAUAUCUUGCCAUUUAUUCCUUUCGAAUUUUUGUUUCCAACUAGAUGUACUUGUGGAGCAUAAUUUUUUACUAAAUUAUCAGUUCUUCAAGUUGUCAUACUCUUCAUAGGUAUCAUGUUCCCAUAAAUUGUUAUGUUAACUAGAUGAACCCUUAUUCGACUUGGGAAACUUAGAAUUUUAAUUAAUAAUAAUAAUAAUAACAAAGCAUAGGGGGUAAAGGGAUAGAAGCUGCUAGGGAAUCGGGAUAUGGUUGGGAGGACUCCCCAUCAGUGGCAAGUCGAGCAUGAUCCUAUUGCUAAAGUGUUAAUUCUGAAACUCACAUUGGAGAUUUACUUGAAAGCUGAUUAUUGAUGGCUUCAUUUUGCACCGAAGUGUAUAAAAGAAACCCAUUUAGAGAUACUUAGACAGCUUUCAGUUACUUUUUGUAAUAUCCUUAAGUUAGACGAGUUUGUUAUUUACCAAUGAAAAAGAUUCUUAGCUGAUCCUCAGUUUGCUAAUUAUUACAUAUUUAAAGCUUUAGGAAGCUGACAUUUGGAUCUGAUUUUGUUGAGUUGUUUUCCAACGGUUAUCUGUCUGCAAAAUUCUAGUUUUCUUUGCUUUUCAGCUAUCUUUUAAUUUGAUAUCUCUUAGCAUGAAUGGUUUCUCACCCUGUUUUACAAUUUAGGUAGUGGUGGAUGCGCCAAAGUUCUAUGUUUGAUGCAUGCAUUCGGAAUUUUAAAGUUAAUUGUAAUGGGAUUCACUUGUUUUCCUUAGGAUCAAACACCUAUACGAUGAAUUAUAGAGAACCCUUUUUUUUCCUUAAAAGAAAGGUAAAAUAUACAAUUAUGAACUUAAUUAGAGCAUAUGUUGGUUGGAGUAUUAUUCUGUAUCUUCCAACUUAAUUAUAUUGAUUGCAUGUCAUCAAACUUAGUAACAACUAAUGGAUUUUUUUAAGGUGACAUUUGUCUGGCCUUCAUAGUUAAAAUUUUCCUACUGCUGUGUUGUGUAAUAAUUGCAGUUGAAGGACAUAUGCGAGUUGUUCUGAAGGCAUUUCUUGUAAAUUGCUAGACUACAGGACAUGAAAUGAAAGAGUAAAAAUGCAUAUAUUUGAUUAGGUUAGACCAGAUAGGUAUUAUGGUUUGAGGUGUUUUGGUUCUUUAGAGUUCCAACACUCUGGUGCUUGAAGAAGUUUCUUGUUGUGGAUUCCUUCACAAGGAAGUGAGGUGAUGAGAAUCGUCUCAUUUCCCGGUUUCCAUUCUUGCAUCUAACUUCUUGCGAUAGCUUUGGACAAGAACUUAUAACAUAUGAAUUACUACGUAUAGCUUUCUAGGAAGCCUUUACUUGACCUGGCACUUGUGGAACCUUUGGAAUUAGAGUAUAGAUAUGCUUCAUUGAAGGUUUUUGGUGCAAUCAAUGGUUUAACUUUAUUCAAGAUAUCUUCUAAUUUGGUCUAUUGAUUUAAGGUUGUUUUGUGAUUUUUGAUCCUGUAAAGUCCUCAUUUCUGGGUUUGACAAAGUUUUCUAGGAAGAGAUAGAUGUACUUAAGUUUGGUUCCAAGAAGUGUUACUUUAUAUGGAUAAUUCAUUUCUGUUCCCUAUGUUACCAUCUAAUGACAUACAAAAUUGAUUACGUACAUGCUUUUCGGGCUAAGAAUUGAUACAUGUGUGUAUGCAUGUUAGAUAUUUAGUUUUUAAAUAUGGUGAAGCCUGAUUGCUUAUUAUCAUUGCUAUCAUGGAACAUUGUUUAACACUUCUGAACUGCAGCUCUAGAAGGCUUUGUAAUGGGCUCUAUGGCAUCGGCAUAGGGUUUGUUUGUUUUUGUAUUUACAAUUUUUUGCUUAAUUAUUACUGUUGUUUCUUUUGGACCUAUUAUUGUUUUGGAAGUCGGCUGUUAAUUAAUUGUUAGGGAUAAAUACCGAAUCUGCCAUGUUGAGCCAAUAUUCAAUGACAUUGGUCUAUUUUCAUUUGGUUUGGGACACAAACAGGAAGACUAUUUCAUGGAAUAUACCUUACGAACCAUAAAAACUACUAAUAAAUAUAAUGAUUUGGCAAAGUGCUUUUGAAAAAGAAAAAGAAAAAUGUUGAGUUGGAGAGCUAUUUUUUUUCUUUUUUCUUUUUUUUCUUUCCUUUCUCUGUUUUCUCCUCCUCAGCUGCUGGCACCAAUCCAGUUUUGAAUUGCCAAGGCCUUAGGGAGGUUGGCCAGUGUUGAUCCAGGCUCUCUGAUCCAGAUUGGCACUUGGUGGCAUGAGAUCUGGCCAAAUUGACACUGUUUGUUACCAGCUCCUAGCCUGUACAGCUGCAGGCAGUGGUGCUGGCUUGCUCAUUGGCAAGGAAAAAGGUGUAUUAAAGGAGGGAAGAAGAAAGGAGAAACCUGAAAGAAGAAUUAGGAGCAUAGGGAACCAAAAGGCUAAAACCAUUUCUAAUUUCAUUUAUUGGUGUGGCUUGCAAAGCUCGGUUAUUGGUUUUCUUAAAUUCCAGUGUGCUGUAAAGUGUCGGUUCAGUUUGAUAAUAUUAGUCUGCCUGUAUUACAAAGCUCCAUGGUUUGGUCUUCGUCUUUGAUAAGACUACUGGAUGUAUGAACAGCGUACUUUGUACAGAAAGACAAUUUUUCUUCAGAUUUGUGGCAUUCAUGGAAGGCACACUCGAAUCUUUGAUGAUCAGUCUUACUGGUUUAUCCGAACAUUACUCAAUUUAUACAACUAUGUCUGGAUGAUGAGAGUCUGGUGAUUUGUGUUA